Equus caballus (horse) is the source of this 964-nucleotide long non-coding RNA. RefSeq lists it as uncharacterized. NCBI's taxonomy places the organism in Eukaryota, Metazoa, Chordata, Mammalia, Perissodactyla, Equidae. The record is from RefSeq and is a predicted model, not a curated record.
UGGGGGUUGGCUGCCUGGAUAUAUUGCAUAGGGUCAAGUGGAGCAUUUACAGGGACGCAAAAGCUGUUUAGGUUUCAGUUUUCUGAUAUGGCAGCCUGGGGAAGGAGUGUUCCAUCUUGGGCCUAGAAAUUUAUUCAACACGUGAAAAAUGUUAAACUUCUGUGUGAGCUGGAAGAGCAUUCAAUAGAACACUUCAUGCCCUGGGGAAGCCCGGAGACUGGAUGCUGAAUGAAACUGUGAAGGCGCCCUGCUGAACAUGGACAUCUGUAUUGGGUUUUGUGAAACAGACAUUCAUCAUAAACCUACGGAAAGUGCAUGUUAGUUAAAGCAAUGAAAAAGCAAAUGAUGUCUGGAAAGGAAGAGAAAGGAGAAAACAUCCAAAAAGGAUAAAGAGAUUUUAAGAUUACUUAUCGCUCUGUUUCCCUUUCAUAACACCACUGUGACAGACUGCAAUGAUCUGCUUCAUUAUCUGCAUGCUCCUACUCCCCCUAGACUCUGACCUCUUUGAGAGUGUGGCUGACAUGAGGAGAAGAGACUAUAUUCACUCUCCAGAAGAUAAAAAAGGGCUAAUGAACAUCAACUUUGAACAGACAGAUCCCAUGCAGGAACUCCUCUGUGAAGUCUUGGUUGGAGCCCUUCCACCUCCUGACCUGUCACAUCAGUAAAUCAACCUCCCCCAGGUUGACAAAAAUCAAUACUUUCUCUCACAGAAUUCUGACUUUCCAAGCCCCGUUCGGGUUCAUGUGAAAUGUGGACAGCACAUAGAGGACAGGAGCUGUUACUUUAUCUUCCAGAGCUCUUUCUUGUCUUCAUCCAAGCAGAAGCUAAUCCUAGAAGUAUUAUAAGAAACAAUCAUUUUGAAAUUAAUUAGUUUUGGAUUUUUUGAUGGAGUGAGUGUAAUUUUUAAAAAUAAUUCACUGUGUCAUUAACAUCCAGCUUCAAUCAAACUACUAUUAAAAUAAAA